GGUUCAUUCAAAUUUCUGCCCUAUCAACUUUCGACGGCUGGGUCUUGGCCAGCCAUGGUGACAACGGGUAACGGAGGGUUAGGGCUCGACCCCGGAGAAGGAGCCUGAGAAACGGCUACUACAUCCAAGGAAGGCAGCAGGCGCGCAAAUUACCCAACCCUGACCGGGGAGGUAAUGACAAUAAAUACUGAUACAGGGCUCUUUUGAGUCUUGUAAUUGGAAUGAGUACAAUUUAAAUCCCUUAACGAGGAACAAUUGGAGGGCAAGUUUGGUGCCAGCAGCCGGGGUAAUUCCAGGUCCAAUAGCGUAUAUUAAAGUUGUAGCAGUUAAAAAGCUCGUAGUUG
This 344-nucleotide ribosomal RNA is filed under the name uncultured fungus. RNAcentral describes it as "SSU rRNA". It matches the Rfam family "Eukaryotic small subunit ribosomal RNA", at positions 292 to 636 of the family's 1831-position model. The record is from RNAcentral. Lineage: Eukaryota; Fungi.